Long non-coding RNA from Cygnus atratus (black swan), 534 nucleotides. RefSeq lists it as uncharacterized. The record is from RefSeq and is a predicted model, not a curated record. Lineage: Eukaryota; Metazoa; Chordata; Aves; Anseriformes; Anatidae. The transcript is spliced from 5 exons.
ACCAAGCCCGGCACUGAGGCAGCUGCAGCGGGCACCCAAGUGCUGCGCUUCCCCUCCGACGCUCCUGCACCGCGCGUGAUUUGCAGUGAUUCAACCUCUACGUACCUACUGAGAUGGAAACAGAGAAAUUGGUUUUGAGAGCUCUGAAGCAGGCCAUGGCUCACAUAAGAAGCAGAUGCACUGAGGAGACGACUGCAAAUGGCAAAGAAACCAGAAUGUCCUGAGGAGCUGUGAGGCUGUGCUGCUGCCACUGCAGGAGUUACUCUCCAGCCUCACCAGUGCCAAUAUACCACAGUGUGAGCAAUGCAACUUGAAAGAGAGAAGGAAGACCAGCUGUAUCCUGCAAGCAAGUCUCUUCCUGGAACCUCCAUGCUUCCUCCCGCCAAACCUUUUUUACACGUUGAGUAUGAGAAGUGCUGCAGAGCUGCAGUCUGGCAUUACAGAAAUACACAAGUAACAGAGACAUUUUUCUUCCACUUCUUAAUAUACAGUUGUCAGAAGCUUAACAACUAAACCCAACUCCUUCACACAAAG